This 659-nucleotide long non-coding RNA is filed under the name Marmota monax (woodchuck). The record is from RNAcentral. Lineage: Eukaryota; Metazoa; Chordata; Mammalia; Rodentia; Sciuridae.
CUCAGGUCUCAAUAGAAUGAUAAACAUAUACAAUAUAUUCUCUGACCACAAUUAACUGAAGCGCCUCAAUAAUGGGAGGAAAACUAGAAAAUUCACACACUCUUAAAAAUCACCGGGGCAAGACUGUGUCACAGGAAACUUAGAAAAUGCUUUGGGAUGAAAACAAUUCUUCUGAGUUGAAGACAUUUAUGGUAGAAAAUACCAAAAAUAGUUCCCUAUCCACAUUAGAGGUAAAAUAUUACAAUACUGUGUCUCUCCCAACUUAAAACAGCUUUCUUCUUCUGAAACAAAUCCACGUUGAAGAAAUAUCCUGCAAGAAGUCCUUGUGUGUGUGCUUUUACAGGGCUGCUAAAGGUUACUUUGUUUUGGAUUCCACCUAACUUUUUUUGUUCCCCCAAAAGCUAUUGUUCAAAAGUCCUAAACCCUCAUUCCUGCAAAUGUGAUCAUAUUUGGAAUUAGGAUCUUUAAUCCAGUAAGAUGAAUUUGUACUGAAUGGGAUGAUGGUCCUGAUUCAAUGUCUGGUGUCCUUAUAAGAGGAGCUGGGUGUGUGCACAGGGAAAGGCUGUGUGAAGACAGAGGCCAAGAUGACACCAUGGCAAGCCAAGGAGUUCCAAAGCUUUCAGAGACUGCCAGAGGCUAGGAAGAGGCAAGGAAAAGCA